RNAcentral lists this ribosomal RNA (384 nucleotides) under uncultured bacterium. RNAcentral's name for it is "bacterial SSU rRNA". It matches the Rfam family "Bacterial small subunit ribosomal RNA", at positions 28 to 414 of the family's 1533-position model. The record is from RNAcentral.
GACGAACGCUGGCGGCGUGCUUAACACAUGCAAGUCGAGCGGUAAGGCCCUUUCGGGGGUACACGAGCGGCGAACGGGUGAGUAACACGUGGGUGACCUGCCCUCAGCUCUGGGAUAAGCCUGGGAAACCGGGUCUAAUACUGGAUAUGACUCCAUGACGCAUGUUGUGGGGUGGAAAGCCUUGUGCGGCUGAGGAUGGGCCCGCGGCCUAUCAGCUUGUUGGUGGGGGAUGGCCCACCAAGGCGACGACGGGUAGCCGGCCUGAGAGGGCGACCGGCCACACUGGGACUGAGACACGGCCCAGACUCCUACGGGAGGCAGCAGUGGGGAAUCUUGCGCAAUGGGCGAAAGCCUGACGCAGCGACGCCGCGUGAGGGAUGACGG